This 84-nucleotide non-coding RNA is filed under the name Patulibacter medicamentivorans. RNAcentral describes it as "ZTP sequence". It matches the Rfam family "ZMP/ZTP riboswitch aptamer (pfl RNA motif)". Rfam says of the family: Previously known as pfl RNA. ZMP is also known as AICAR. Lineage: Bacteria; Bacillati; Actinomycetota; Thermoleophilia; Solirubrobacterales; Patulibacteraceae. The record is from Rfam by way of RNAcentral.
CGCUCCCGUCGCGACUGGCGCCAGAGGGUGGAACCGACCACCGGGGAGCGACACCGAGCACCGCCGCGCGCCUGGGCACCCGCC